Molecule: non-coding RNA, 91 nt
Organism: Crucibulum laeve
Lineage: Eukaryota; Fungi; Basidiomycota; Agaricomycetes; Agaricales; Nidulariaceae
Source: the annotation of a GenBank genome assembly
GGGAUCAUAGCUCAGUUGAGAGAGCAGUAGACUGAAGCAUUGGUUGUAAAAUACAUUCUAAAGGCCCCGCAUUCGAUCCGCGGUGGUCCCA